CAGUCGCCGCGGUAAUACGAGGGGGGCAAGCGUUGUUCGGAAUUAUUGGGCGUAAAGGGCGCGUAGGCGGUUUGGCAAGUUUGGUGUGAAAUCUUCGGGCUCAACUCGAAGUCUGCAUCGAAAACUGCCGGGCUUGAGUAUGGGAGAGGUGAGUGGAAUUUCCGGUGUAGCGGUGAAAUGCGUAGAUAUCGGAAGGAACACCUGUGGCGAAAGCGGCUCACUGGACCAUAACUGACGCUGAGGCGCGAAAGCUAGGGGAGCAAACAGGAUUAGAUACCCGCGUAGUCCCUGUCUCUUAUAC
Molecule: ribosomal RNA, 301 nt
Filed under: uncultured bacterium
Lineage: Bacteria
Description: partial 16S ribosomal RNA
Rfam family: Bacterial small subunit ribosomal RNA
Source: RNAcentral